Long non-coding RNA from Branchiostoma floridae (Florida lancelet), 2072 nucleotides. RefSeq lists it as uncharacterized. The transcript has 3 exons. Lineage: Eukaryota; Metazoa; Chordata; Leptocardii; Amphioxiformes; Branchiostomatidae. The record is from RefSeq and is a predicted model, not a curated record.
CUGAGCCCACUCUCUUGAUAGAUCUCUGUAGGGAUAAUUGUUCAACAUAAACCAAAAGUGUCGAAACGUCAUGAAGUACAUUGUAAUGUGUGUGGCUUGAUUUGGUCGUAACAUUUAAUUGUUGAAUACCCGGGUCCUGGCAGUGAUAUUUUUACAGCUAUGUGAGUUGAUUGUGAAAGAUAAUAUGUCCAUUUGUUUUAUACUGCGUGUUACAUAAUCGGAAAGCUUGUAAUUAUUUCCAUAUAUGAUACCUUGGUUAUUCACCCUUUCGUGGGGGUUCGUGCCAGGCAAGUGCCCAAAUUCCCUUACCAACGCCAGACACAGUAGCUGUAGCAAAUUUCGGUAAUUUUGUUUCUUUCUGGCCAAGCCUUUGAAUGAACGACCAAAUGUGGAAUAAUUGUCAAGGUUGAUAAGCUUUCCAAUUAUAACGUUACUUGAUACUAUGCAAUCAGUAAGUAAUGCAACUGAGAUAUGAUUUAUCAAAUCUAAGUUUCCUACUUUAUGCUAAGUCUAGAUUUGUUUCAGGUAACAACAGAUAUGACAAGCAAUGUCUUCUUCUUAGAUGCAUUUUUUUUAUCUAUCACAUUCCACUGAAUGUUUCACGGUCAUGUGUUCAUUGCGUUGGCCUGUUCUACAGCGGUUACGGUCUGUUCUGAGAAUUGUACGUACGCCGACGGCUCGUCUUGUACAGAUGGUGAUGCCAACUGCACGUGUACAAAUAUCUGUAGACCUGCGAAUCCAGAACCUUCGGGGCUAUCUACUGCAGCAAUCAUUGGUAUAGCAUGCGGUAGCGCAUCCGCUGUCAUACUAGUAGUGGUCAUCAUUACUGUCUGCUGCUGCAAGAAAAAGAAGAACAGACAAGUGGCCGCUAGUCAACACGGAUCCCAGGCUAAAGUCAAUGAAACGGAAUUGGAGGAUGCAUAGUACAUAUUUGUCAUUUGAUACUUAGAAAUGAGUACCAACCAAUAACCUUUUGCAUUUACUUUGAGUAUCAAAAAGGAAAACCUGCAAUGAGCACUCCGAAAAAAAAAUAAGAGAAAAAAUGGCAGAAGAACACAGGAGAUGUAAUAAAAAUCUUGGACCUCAUAAAUGUCAGAAAUGCACCUUUCAGGCAGCUAGUUUCGAUGGAUCAGUAGAUGACAGGGGCAACGCAUAACAUCACUUUUGUCAUCAGAUAGAAUGCCAUAAAAAGAGGGCAAAACGUCUCUUUGAACGAUGAGGAAUGUAAUUAUUUUCCAAAGACUCGUUCUUGAGUUAUAGUUGUCCAGCUAAUGAACGUUUUGUGUGCUAAAGUUGUUCUCUGGUUUGUGAUGGAUUGGAUAUGUUUGUAGACAGAGUGAUGAAGACAUGCGUUUUUUUUUCAAAUACUCACGUCUGAGGUGUUCUGUCAAAAUAUCUAUCCAACAAACCAAGUGUACGAGUUACGCACCUAUUGUCUCAACACACGUUGUUAUGACUGUCACAUGUCCUAGAUCUAUAGAUAUGAACUGUUCGAAACGUGACGAGGGCAUACUGAAUCAUUGGCCUUAGGACUCACGGGAAUGCAGACACCAAAUACGGUAUCGAUCGCGAGGUUAUGCAUUAUCUGUUCAAGUGUCACUGUGAACCCCAUUUGCUUACAGAGAGAAGAUUUUGGUCCUUCAUAAAAGAAGGACAGGGCCGCAUAUUGUACGCUUCAAUGACUGACGCAGAGCAUGACGGUAUAUGGUUGUUACGAAUUCCUUGUUGUAAAACUUAUCAUAUUCCGAAUUCGUUGAACGCGAAGGGAAGGACUAUGGUUGGGGAAACAGCUACGGACACGACCUCUGCGUCAUGAGACGGCAUAUUGGCUACCGUCAUUUAAAGAUUGAUAUCUAUCAUGUGUUGUAACUUUCACGCCAAAUUUUGAUAGAGGCAUUACAUUCAAGCUAGGAAGAAUAUUCCUUUGAAGUCAAGAGACAAUUGUUCAGCUAUAUGGUAUUUGGAGGUAGUACUUUGAUAUCGGACUUGUCUGUGAACUGUUGGCUCAAAGCUACGGUGAGAUUUUUGUAACUUCUAUUUUUGUAUCAAUAAACCUUUAAGGAUACAAUUGA